RNAcentral lists this ribosomal RNA (1139 nucleotides) under Napier grass stunt phytoplasma. RNAcentral's name for it is "bacterial SSU rRNA". It matches the Rfam family "Bacterial small subunit ribosomal RNA", at positions 190 to 1346 of the family's 1533-position model. The record is from RNAcentral. Lineage: Bacteria; Bacillati; Mycoplasmatota; Mollicutes; Acholeplasmatales; Acholeplasmataceae.
AAGACCUUUUUCGAAGGUAUGCUUAAAGAGGGGCUUGCGACACAUUAGUUAGUUGGUAGGGUAAAAGCCUACCAAGACUAUGAUGUGUAGCUGGACUGAGAGGUCGAACAGCCACAUUGGGACUGAGACACGGCCCAAACUCCUACGGGAGGCAGCAGUAGGGAAUUUUCGGCAAUGGAGGAAACUCUGACCGAGCAACGCCGCGUGAACGAUGAAGUAUUUCGGUAUGUAAAGUUCUUUUAUUGAAGAAGAAAAAAUAGUGGAAAAACUAUAUUGACGCUAUUCAAUGAAUAAGCCCCGGCAAACUAUGUGCCAGCAGCCGCGGUAAUACAUAGGGGGCAAGCGUUAUCCGGAAUUAUUGGGCGUAAAGGGUGCGUAGGCGGUUUAAUAAGUCUGUAGUUUAAUUUCAGUGCUUAACACUGUCCUGCUAUAGAAACUAUUAGACUAGAGUGAGAUAGAGGUAAGCGGAAUUCCAUGUGUAGCGGUAAAAUGCGUAAAUAUAUGGAGGAACACCAGAGGCGUAGGCGGCUUACUGGGUCUUUACUGACGCUGAGGCACGAAAGCGUGGGGAGCAAACAGGAUUAGAUACCCUGGUAGUCCACGCCGUAAACGAUGAGUACUAAGUGUCGGGGAAACUCGGUACUGAAGUUAACACAUUAAGUACUCCGCCUGAGUAGUACGUACGCAAGUAUGAAACUUAAAGGAAUUGACGGGACUCCGCACAAGCGGUGGAUCAUGUUGUUUAAUUCGAAGAUACACGAAAAACCUUACCAGGUCUUGACAUACUCUGCAAAGCUAUAGCAAUAUAGUGGAGGUUAUCAGGGAUACAGGUGGUGCAUGGUUGUCGUCAGCUCGUGUCGUGAGAUGUUAGGUUAAGUCCUAAAACGAGCGCAACCCUUAUCGUUAGUUACCAGCAUGUUAUGAUGGGGACUUUAACGAGACUGCCAAUGAAAAAUUGGAGGAAGGUGAGGAUCACGUCAAAUCAUCAUGCCCCUUAUGAUCUGGGCUACAAACGUGAUACAAUGGCUGUUACAAAGAGUAGCUAAAACGCGAGUUUAUAGCCAAUCUCAAAAAAACAGUCUCAGUUCGGAUUGAAGUCUGCAACUCGACUUCAUGAAGUUGAAUCGCUAGUAAUCGCG